RNAcentral lists this transfer RNA (66 nucleotides) under Coptotriche symplocosella. Its description in RNAcentral is "tRNA-Thr". It matches the Rfam family "tRNA". From Rfam's summary of the family: Transfer RNA (tRNA) molecules are approximately 80 nucleotides in length. Their secondary structure includes four short double-helical elements and three loops (D, anti-codon, and T loops). The record is from RNAcentral. Lineage: Eukaryota; Metazoa; Arthropoda; Insecta; Lepidoptera; Tischeriidae. RNAcentral also lists the same sequence under 1 other name.
GUUUUUAUAGUUUAAGUAAAACAUUGGUCUUGUAAACCAAAUUUAAGAAAAUUUUCUUUAAAAACU